ACCUAGGGUUCGGGAAGUGAGAUUGGUGUGCCACGAGUGUCGUGAGUCCACCAAAUUUCAGAGAGAGAUCCAUCAGCCUCUCAAGUAACUGUGCAGAUGAUCCGAAGCAUCCGAGAAGUCGGCACACAUCGAUCGAAGGAGUUCGAUCAACAUCUGCCAUCAAAAGGGUGAAAUCACGAACUAGCAUUCGUGAGGAGCUGAUCAGACGGGAGCUUCGUGUGGACGAUCCGCAGAGGCCAGACAGUUGGGUGGCUGCGAUGUGAUGAUCAGAGCCCUCCGACGGUAAUUAGAUUGCGGUGAUCGACUACCCGCAAAAGGUGAUGUGUUCUGAACACAGUACUGUAAAACGUUUACUGAUUCAAAUUUGAAUUUCAAAUUUAAAUGCAUGUAGUUGUAUCAUAUUUAGAUCCUAGUGUAGGGUUAAUUAGUAUUAAUUAAUGAGAUUAAUUAAUAAUUCCGCUGUAAAAUAGUAAUUUUGA
RNAcentral lists this long non-coding RNA (479 nucleotides) under Elaeis guineensis (African oil palm). Its description in RNAcentral is "long non-coding RNA (EGUI_LNC048771)". The record is from RNAcentral. Lineage: Eukaryota; Viridiplantae; Streptophyta; Magnoliopsida; Arecales; Arecaceae.